UGGGGAAUUUUGCGCAAUGGGGGAAACCCUGACGCAGCAACGCCGCGUGAGUGAUGAAGGCCUUCGGGUCGUAAAGCUCUGUCAGAGGGGAAGAAAUGCAGGAGCGCUAAUAUCGUUUUUGCUUGACGGUACCCUCAAAGGAAGCACCGGCUAACUCCGUGCCAGCAGCCGCGGUAAUACGGAGGGUGCGAGCGUUGUUCGGAAUAAUUGGGCGUAAAGCGCGUGUAGGCGGUCUUUUAAGUCUGAUGUGAAAGCCCCGGGCUCAACCUGGGAAGUGCAUUGGAAACUGGGAGACUUGAAUACGGGAGAGGGUAGUGGAAUUCCUAGUGUAGGAGUGAAAUCCGUAGAUAUUAGGAGGAACACCGGUGGCGAAGGCGGCUACCUGGACCGAUAUUGACGCUGAGACGCGAAAGCGUGGGGAGCAAACA
This 428-nucleotide ribosomal RNA is filed under the name uncultured prokaryote. RNAcentral's name for it is "bacterial SSU rRNA". It matches the Rfam family "Bacterial small subunit ribosomal RNA", at positions 355 to 774 of the family's 1533-position model. The record is from RNAcentral.